CCUACGGGUGGCAGCAGUAGGGAAUCUUGCACAAUGGACGAAAGUCUGAUGGAGCAACGCCGCGUGAGUGAAGAAGGGUUUCGGCUUGUAAAGCUCUGUUGGUAGUGAAGUAAGCUAGAGGUAGUAUCUGUCUUUUUCUUGACGGUAAUAAUUUAGAAAGUCACGGCUAAUUACGUGCCAGCAGCCGCGGUAAUACGUAGGUGGCAAGCGUUGUCCGGAUUUAUUGGGCGUAAAGCGAGUGCAGGCGGUCCGAUAAGUCUGAUGUGAAAGCCUGCGGCUCAACCGGAGAAUUGCAUCAGAAACUGUUGGACUUGAGUGCAGAAGAGGUAGGCGGAACUCCUGGUGUAGCGGUGGAAUGCGUAGAUAUAAGGAAGAACACCAGUGGCGAAGGCGGCUCACUGGACGGCAACCGACGCUGAGGCUCGAAAGCGUGGGUAGCAAACAGGAUUAGAUACCCCUGUAGUC
This 465-nucleotide ribosomal RNA is filed under the name uncultured bacterium. RNAcentral's name for it is "partial 16S ribosomal RNA". It matches the Rfam family "Bacterial small subunit ribosomal RNA", at positions 338 to 795 of the family's 1533-position model. The record is from RNAcentral.